Molecule: long non-coding RNA, 505 nt
Filed under: Homo sapiens (human)
Lineage: Eukaryota; Metazoa; Chordata; Mammalia; Primates; Hominidae
Description: HSALNT0231890
Source: RNAcentral
AUAUUUUGUAUGAAUUACAUACUGUAUUUUGUAUUCUCACAAUAGGGUAGGCUACAGAAAACGUUAUUAAGAAAAUCAUAAAGAAGAGAAAAUAUAUUUACUAUUCAUUAAGUGGAUCAUCAUAAAGGUCUUCAUCAUUGUUGUCUUCACAUUGAUGAGGAGGGGAAGAGGAGGAGGUGGAGGGAGAGGAGGAGGGACUGGUUUGUUGUCUCAGGGGUGGCAGAGGUGGAAGAAAAUCCUCAUAUAAAUGGACCCGCACAGUUCAAACCUGUGUUGUUCAAGGGUCAGCUGCAUAAUAUGUCUUGUUCUUUAGAUACUUAAUACAAGACAUUUCACAGCAUGAAAUGUAUAAGAUGUUCAAUGGAAAUAGUUCUCUUUUCAUAUCACAAAGGAAACAAACAUCACCAUGAAAAAAGACAAACUAGGAACAAAUUUACAAACCAGGAAUAUAUCACUUUAUUCAUUUCCAGAUUAUGAGUAUGACACAGCAUAUACAUAUAUUUAG